This 75-nucleotide transfer RNA is filed under the name Saprospiraceae bacterium. RNAcentral describes it as "tRNA-Arg". It matches the Rfam family "tRNA". From Rfam's summary of the family: Transfer RNA (tRNA) molecules are approximately 80 nucleotides in length. Their secondary structure includes four short double-helical elements and three loops (D, anti-codon, and T loops). RNAcentral also lists the same sequence under 1 other name. The record is from RNAcentral. Lineage: Bacteria; Pseudomonadati; Bacteroidota; Saprospiria; Saprospirales; Saprospiraceae.
GGCGGUGUAGCUCAAUUGGAACAGAGUGCCUGUCUUCUAAACAGGAGGUUCCGGGUUCGAGUCCCGGCACCGCCA